AUCCCAACUCUGUUCUGUCUACGU
RNAcentral lists this non-coding RNA (24 nucleotides) under Arabidopsis thaliana (thale cress). The record is from RNAcentral. Lineage: Eukaryota; Viridiplantae; Streptophyta; Magnoliopsida; Brassicales; Brassicaceae.